This 376-nucleotide transfer RNA is filed under the name Pannus brasiliensis CCIBt3594. RNAcentral's name for it is "16S-23S ribosomal RNA intergenic spacer". The stretch from base 140 to 213 matches the Rfam family "tRNA". Lineage: Bacteria; Bacillati; Cyanobacteriota; Cyanophyceae; Chroococcales; Microcystaceae. The record is from RNAcentral.
CCUUUAAGGGAGACCCAUUCGGGGAGUGGAGUGAAAAAAAAGUAGCUCCGGUCCGAAAAAUCCCGAAGGUCGAGCGAGUAGGUCAGAAACGAAGGCAUCCAAACUAAGUUUAGGUUCAUCCCACCCGAUUCGGGGGCGAGGGCUAUUAGCUCAGGUGGUUAGAGCGCACCCCUGAUAAGGGUGAGGUCCCUGGUUCGAGUCCAGGAUGGCCCACCUGAAAAGUGGGAGAAAAAAAGGAAGAAACGAACCGGCAUCUUAUCUGACCGCGCGUGAGAGAGAAUGCUGGAUUCGGAAGAAUCCAGAGAGGAACCUUGAAAACCGCAUAGAGCUAGGUGAGAAAGUAAAGUCGAAAGACGAGACUUCGGGAAAAAACCGA